Molecule: ribosomal RNA, 718 nt
Filed under: uncultured fungus
Lineage: Eukaryota; Fungi
Description: SSU rRNA
Rfam family: Eukaryotic small subunit ribosomal RNA
Source: RNAcentral
CGCGUGGUUCUAUUUUGUUGGUUUUUAGAACCGCCGUAAUGAUUAAUAGGGACAGUCGGGGGCAUCUGUAUUCAAUUGUCAGAGGUGAAAUUCUUGGAUCUAUUGAAGACAAACUACUGCGAAAGCAUUUGCCAAGUAUGUUUUCAUUGAUAAGGAACGAAAGUUAGGGGAUCGAAGACGAUCAGAUACCGUCGUAGUCUUAACUAUAAACUAUGCCGACUAGGGAUCGGACGAUGUUAUUUUUUGACUCGUUCGGCACCUUUCGAGAAAUCAAAGUGCUUGGGCUCCAGGGGGAGUAUGGUCGCAAGGCUGAAACUUAAAGAAAUUGACGGAAGGGCACCACCAGGGGUGGAACCUGCGGCUUAAUUUGACUCAACACGGGGAAACUCACCAGGUCCAGACACAGUGAGGAUUGACAGAUUGAUAGCUCUUUCUUGAUUCUGUGGGUGGUGGUGCAUGGCCGUUCUUAGUUGGUGGAGUGAUUUGUCUGCUUAAUUGCGAUAACGAACGAGACCUUAACCUGCUAAAUAGCCCGUUCUGCUCCGGCAGUACGCUGGCUUCUUAGAGGGACUAUCGGCUCAAGCCGAUGGAAGUUUGAGGCAAUAACAGGUCUGUGAUGCCCUUAGAUGUCCUGGGCCGCACGCGCGUUACACUGACAAAGCCAGCGAGUAUUUCCUUAGCCGGAAGGCUUGGGUAAUCUUGUUAAACUUUGUCGUGC